This 120-nucleotide ribosomal RNA is filed under the name Helianthus annuus (common sunflower). Lineage: Eukaryota; Viridiplantae; Streptophyta; Magnoliopsida; Asterales; Asteraceae. The record is from RNAcentral. RNAcentral also lists the same sequence under 1 other name.
GGUUGCGAUCAUACCAGCACUAAUGCACCGGAUCCCAUCAGAACUCCGCAAUUAAGCGUGCUUGGGCGAGAGUAGUACUAGGAUGGGUGACCCCCUGGGAAGUCCUCGUGUUGCAACCCC